Molecule: ribosomal RNA, 392 nt
Filed under: uncultured bacterium
Lineage: Bacteria
Description: partial 16S ribosomal RNA
Rfam family: Bacterial small subunit ribosomal RNA
Source: RNAcentral
AUACGGAGGAUCCGAGCGUUAUCCGGAUUUAUUGGGUUUAAAGGGUGCGCAGGCGGCCAUUUAAGUCAGCGGUUAAAUCGUGGGGCUCAACCCCAUUCUGCCGUUGAUAUUGGGUGGCUUGAUUGCGGUCGAGGUUGGCGGAAUUCGUUGUGUAGCGGUGAAAUGCAUAGAUAUGACGAAGAACACCGAUUGCGUAGGCAGCUGACCAGAUCGCAAAUGACGCUCAUGCACGAAAGUGCGGGGAUCGAACAGGAUUAGAUACCCUGGUAGUCCGCACAGUAAACGAUGAAUACUUGUUUUCGGCGAUAUAAUGUCGGAGGCAAAGCGAAAGCGAUAAGUAUUCCACCUGGGGAGUACGCCGGCAACGGUGAAACUCAAAUGAAUUGACGGGG